Molecule: ribosomal RNA, 402 nt
Filed under: Bacteroidota bacterium
Lineage: Bacteria; Pseudomonadati; Bacteroidota
Description: Bacteroidetes bacterium partial 16S ribosomal RNA
Rfam family: Bacterial small subunit ribosomal RNA
Source: RNAcentral
UGGGGAAUUUUGCACAAUGGGGGAAACCCUGAUGCAGCGACGCCGCGUGAUUUAGAAGGCCUUCGGGUUGUAAAAAUCUUUUCUAUGGGAAGAAAAUGACAGUACCAUAGGAAUAAGGACCGGCUAAUUACGUGCCAGCAGCCGCGGUAAUACGUAAGGUCCGAGCGUUGUCCGGAAUCAUUGGGCGUAAAGGGUACGUAGGCGGGUAAGCAAGUUAGAAGUGAAAUCCUGUAGCUCAACUACAGUAAGCUUUUAAAACUGCUCAUCUUGAGAUAUGGAAGGGAAAGUGGAAUUCCUAGUGUAGUGGUGAAAUACGUAGAUAUUAGGAGGAAUACCAGUAGCGAAGGCGACUUUCUGGACACAAACUGACGCUGAGGUACGAAAGCGUGGGGAGCAAACAGG